CCUACGGGUGGCAGCAGUGGGGAAUAUUGCACAAUGGGGGGAACCCUGAUGCAGCCACGCCGCGUGGGUGAAGAAGUACUCCGGUAUGUAAAGCCCUUUCAGCAGUGAAGCAAAUGACGGUACCUGAUCAAGAAGCCCCGGCCAACUACGUGCCAGCAGCCGCGGUAAUACGAAGGGGGCAAGCGUUAUCCGGAUUUACUGGGCGUAAAGGGAGCGUAGGCGGCAAGGCAAGUCUGGAGGGAAAGCCCGUGGCCCAACCACGGGACUGCUUUGUAAACUGUGUUGCUGGAGUGCAGGAGGGGUAAGCGGAAUUCGUAGUGUAGCGGGGAAAUGCGUAGAUAUUAGGAGGAACACCGGUGGCGAAGGCGGCUUACUGGACUGUAACUGACGUUGAGGCUCGAAGGCGUGGGGAGCAAACAGGAUUAGAUACCCGAGUAGUC
This 440-nucleotide ribosomal RNA is filed under the name uncultured bacterium. RNAcentral's name for it is "partial 16S ribosomal RNA". It matches the Rfam family "Bacterial small subunit ribosomal RNA", at positions 338 to 795 of the family's 1533-position model. The record is from RNAcentral.